RNAcentral lists this long non-coding RNA (1877 nucleotides) under Hordeum vulgare. RNAcentral describes it as "long non-coding RNA (HVUL_LNC008040)". The record is from RNAcentral. Lineage: Eukaryota; Viridiplantae; Streptophyta; Magnoliopsida; Poales; Poaceae.
AGGUGUGAAGGGGAGAAAUAGAAGACCACAUGCAUGCACUAGCUCACCUCAUCAAUGUCGUGCGAUAUGCACAUGAAUGGUCCGUCCAAAUUCGGGUUGAUGCUUUGAUGAGGGGCAACUUCCUUUUGCCGUUUAUUUGUUAAUCUCUUGACAAAAAUGUUUAUUUUUUAUAUGGAAAGUGUAGAAACAAAGCUGGCUUAAGAUGUUCGUUCUAAUUGUUCUCUUGCUUGUGUGUUCGUUUCUAAGGAGGGUCUAUGUCGGGAUCCACAGCUAGGUGUUUAGGGGCUUCUUCCUUGAGAUGGAAUGUUCACAAACCUGAAGAACAUGCUUGAAUAUUUAGGGCAUGAUACUUUAUCUACUUUUAGCCAGCAGAUAAGAAUUCAUUGCAAUUUCAGCUUAUAAAUGGCUUGUUGUAACCCAAUUAAUUUUGGUAUGUCAUCAAUCUUAUGCUUCUCAGUUACUUCUGCUCAGUGCGUUAGAUUUGUCAGUCCAUCUCUGUGAUGUGAACAUUCCAUUGCAUUAUGCUUCAGUUUUGUGAGAAUUUCAUCUAAGUGAUGUGAACAUUCCGUUUCCUAUUUGUUUAUUAUGCUUCUCAAAUAAUUCAUUGCACUAUGCUUUAGUUUGAAUUGUGAACAUUCCAUCUUUGUGAUGUGUAUAUCGUGAUAUUGUAUUCAUCCUUAAAUGCUUCAAUUAGUGAUAGUUUGUUAGCUCUGCUCUACUAUGCAAUGUUGUGUAUUAGUAAUAACCUGGUAGCUUUGUACUUCCCGAACAACAAUGCAUUAGCAUCCUUUUUCUUGUCCGUGACUUGUGCCACUUCUGUGAAUGGCAGGAUUGCUUAUGGGUCCAGGGCGUGGAUGUGCAACACCGCAUAGAGGGUUUGAAGCCCUCCUAGGUGAUGUGAAAGAAAGCUCCAACUACAGGGCACGAGCUUCAUGCUGACGGGGAGUGGUCCAAUACAAAGUCGAAGGUGUUUUCUUCUACUCCAUUACAUCUGUUAAGUUGCUUGCAUGGAAAUACAAGUUUAAAAUUGUAUCUUUGCAAUGUAUAUGCGCAUCCUGAGAUUCAAUAGUACUGUGAUGAUCUAAAAGUUUAUACCAAAUGUUUGAUACUUGUUAGUACCAGCUGAUUGAUUUUCAGUUAUUAGUAAAUCACUUACAUAUCUUCACACCGCUUGAUGUAUGUGUUUUAAUGUUAGUUAAUGUACUCAUCUAUUGUAGAUGUUGGUUCAUGUUUAGUUAUUACCUACGUUAUAUUAAUGCCUUUGGCACAUUUACUUUGUUAAGGAGGAGCAUCCUUACUGUAGCACACCACCUAUUUUUUCACAGCUCAACACUACUUAACCAAUAACUACUCUGUCCCAAAAUAAGUGACUCAGUUUUUUGUACUAACUUUAUUCAAAGGGAGGGAGUACAUUAUUCAUUGUAGAUCCUUACAAGGUUAAUGAGAUAUAUAUCAGUUUUGCAGCUUGAUUUGAUACUACAGUUCAGCUUCCUUGUGUAUAGAGCAGCAGAGGAAGGUUGAUCAAUAGGGCAUUUCAUCAGAAAAAAUACCCAAAUAAUUGUGAAGCCGAUGAUUAGGAGAAUGCUUAUGUCGUUCUACAUUAUUGUUGUUAACAUGUGUAAUGUAACAUUUUUUUGUUAUUCAUGGUUGUUUGGGUGCCUAACUAGUUUGCUCGGUGAAGUUGUGUGUGUUUUAAAACUGAAUGCAAAUCGAGGAAUGUAAAAUAUUGCCGUAACAGAAAGAACAAAUAGUUAGCAUUGGGUUGCAACUAGACUACAAAACUGCACGUUUAAAUGCCUAUUUAUAUAAGUAAAACAAUUCUGGCCCAGAAAUUAUUGGGCACAAAAGCAAAUUAAUUGCCUGAAAUGUUCGUUUGG